CCCUUGGCAGCCUUUGCCCACACACGUGUAAUUACCAUUGCGAUGUGGUGAUUAAUGACAAUAAUUACCAUGAGAUGUGGCCAGAGGGGUCAGUAGGUUUGUAAAGAGCAGGAAGACUGAGUCCCCACAGCAGCUCACACACACCAUACUGCCCUCUGCAACAAACAUAGGUGGCAACUGGUGUCACUGGCUUGAAAGGGCUUGGGUUGUGGUCAGAGGGCUUGGAGGAUGACUCGGACUCCGCUGCCAUUAGCUACAUGAUCUUAUGGUACUAUUUGAUCUCUUUGGGUUUUACUUCCUCACUUAAACGGCACAGCUAGUGACAGUUGGCUCUAUUUACCAACGCAGAGCCCAUGUACACGUGGGAAGAGUACACAGAGUGAGCUCGAGGUCAAGGUGUUAAUCUCAUAGUGCUUCCGUUUCCUCGUUGGCCAGGGGUGGGGUAUUAGCAGAGCCUACUUCCUAGGGUUAUGGUGAAGAAAGCCUGCAGAACAGUAUCUGGUAGCAAAUGUUAGUUAUUACCCACAUCCUACUGGCCUCUGUGACUCUGAGCUGGAGCCUUCUCUGUGAGGAGAUGUCUCUAGUGUGAGAAGCUCUGACAUCCAAAGGAUGAAGUUUCAUGCAAUUGCAUGAUUGCAUGAUAGUGGGUGCCUGUGGGGAGCAGCCUAGAAGGUUUAUGAGCAACUGGACUUGGGUCCCUUGGUAGCCUUGGUUGGGUCACAGGUGUUCAUCUACCAAGACUCCUGCUUCCUCCUGAAGGAGGAGGAGGGGAGCAGGGAAACUCCCUCUUCAUUCAUUCAGGAUUCUCUACAGAGGCCAAACCAGCAGUUUGUGUGUUGCUGUGGAUAAAAGUGAUGUGUUUGGCCAGGCAGUGGUGGCGCAUGCCUUUAAUCCCAGCACUUGGGAGGCAGAGGCAGGAGGAUUCCUGAGUUUGAGACCAGCCUGGUCUACAGAAUGAGUUCCAGGACGGGCUAUACAGAGAAACCCUGUCUCAAAAACAAACAAACAAACAAACAAACACAGUGAUGUGUUUGGUGUCAAAGUGACAAAGAGUGGACCUGUGAUGGCUAGUUAAUCUUCACUGUCAAUUUGACUAGGAAUCUCAUAGGAGACACGCCUCUUGCUGUGCUUGAGCAGGGUUUUCAGAGAAGUUUAAUGAACAUGGGCAGCACUAUCCAGUCGACUGGACGAAAUAAAAAUGAAAGAUGCAGGAAGCCAGCGGAACACCAGCAUUAAUUUUUCUUUGCUUCCUAAUUGUGGGUGCAAUGUAACCAGGUGCUUUCCCAUCAUGAUGGACUGUACCCUCAGACUGCGAGCCAAAGCCAACCUUCCUUCCUUGAGUUGCUUUCAGCAGGUAUGUUGCCACAGUAACAAGAGAAAGUAAUUUACAUACAGUUGCAUCCAGUUGGGGAACAGGGUAUAGAGACAGAAAUAGAUACAUAGAAGUGGACACAGAGUGGGAGAGGGAGGGCAGAAGGGAGGGAGAGGGACAGAGAGAGAGAGACAGAGACAGACAGAUAAAGAGAUAGAGAUGGAAAUAGUGACAGAGACAGUCACAGGCAGACAGAAAGAGAGAUAGUGAUAGAAAUAGUGACAGAGACAGAAAGACAGAGAGACCAAUAGACAGAGACAGAGAAAACCUAAGGCACUGGCUCACGUGUCCUUGGGUGCUAAGUGCAUCCAAAUCCGAGGAGGAAAGUUGACAGACUGAGUAAGGACCCAGGGUAUGAUGUGAUGGGGGUAUAACAGUUAUGGAGUGGGGUGC
RNAcentral lists this long non-coding RNA (1765 nucleotides) under Mus musculus (house mouse). RNAcentral describes it as "long non-coding RNA chr16:30695519-30697284". The record is from RNAcentral. Lineage: Eukaryota; Metazoa; Chordata; Mammalia; Rodentia; Muridae.